RNAcentral lists this long non-coding RNA (748 nucleotides) under Erythranthe guttata (spotted monkey flower). RNAcentral's name for it is "long non-coding RNA (EGUT_LNC002291)". Lineage: Eukaryota; Viridiplantae; Streptophyta; Magnoliopsida; Lamiales; Phrymaceae. The record is from RNAcentral.
UUUUUUUUUUUUUUUUUUUCCCAAAAUCUGCCCCCGCCGCAAUCAACGACCUCUUCUCUGUAAUUUUCUCUGCAGGUGUUGAACGGCGUGCAUUCAGGUGUUGAACGAUGGUGCACGGGCCUACAAUUGCUGACUCUGACCGCCGCCUCCGCUGCCGCCGCUUCGUUCGACCGCCGCCUCCGCUGCCGCCGCUUCGUUCGACCGCCGCCUCCGCUGCCGCCGCUUCGUUCGACCGCCGCCUCCGCUGCCGCCGCUUCGUUCGACCGCCGCCCUCCGCUGCCGCCCUCAAACAGGUCUUACGCCGCCGCCGCCUCCGCCGCUUCGUUCGAGGCCACCGCCCCAGCUGUCAGUAUCACUUCCCACCGCAUUUUUCGCCCAAUUGCAGACCACUGCCCCUUCUCGAUCACAUCCGACUUGGAUUACUCAGAUUUUGUCGGUGCCCACCCCUUCUCUCCAACCCAAUCUCACCUUUUCUCCAACCCAAUCUCACUCAUGGUACUCAUCCUAUUUUCUUUCUAAUCCUCUUGUUCUUCUCCAGUUCUCCCAAUUUUUAUGUAUUGGUAUUGAUUCGAUGGAUUUUAUUUUACAAGCAAGCGUUGCUCAACCAACCACAACUCUCGGUUGGAACGAUUCCAUUGUUCUUUGUAUUAAUUUAAUUUCUUCCCAGACUCGUCCGCCAUUACCACUGUCAUUUGUUUAUAUUUCAGAGUUUUUCAUGUUUUUUGUAAUAAUUUUUCGUACUUUGUAC